RNAcentral lists this unclassified non-coding RNA (169 nucleotides) under uncultured Gnomoniaceae. Lineage: Eukaryota; Fungi; Ascomycota; Sordariomycetes; Diaporthales; Gnomoniaceae. The record is from RNAcentral.
CUGGAACAAACGCCCUCACGGGUGCUACCCAGAAACCCUUUGUGAAUACUACCUAAAAUGUUGCCUCGGCAUUGGUUGGCCUCUUUGAGGUCCCUUUCCCUCGGGGAAGGAGCAGACCGGCCGGUGGCCCUAUAAACUCUUGUUUUUGUAAUAUCAUCUGAGUAAAAAA